GGUGAUAUGAUCUGGAAGACACAGAAAUAAAACGCCUAACUACAAGUUGAAUAGCAGGCAUUGACUUGCUGACCAACGCUUCCAUGCUUGGUGGGGGCUGGUUCUGUGGCUGCAAAGGUAGCAGAGCACAGGGCUAUGACAAUGGCUUGCAAAUGCUUUAACGCCAUGUUUUAUUGCUCUUAGGAGCUCUUACUAACUGGAGGUUUGGGAAUACGACUAAGACUUUAAUUUGGGAUGUCCACACUGAGGUUUCAGCCUUUCCUUGGAUAAUAGAAAAGGACAGUUGCAAAUAAGUAGGAUAAACUGCAUUCUUUGGCAGAGGGGGAGGGAAGAGGGAGAGGGUGGAGGAGGGUUUUUUUUUUUCUUCCCCUUUACUAGUUCUGUAACUGAGUCAAUAUUUUAAGGUCUGUAGCAGGAAUGUGGCUUUGUGAUCACUGAUCGUUCUGCAACGUGUUUUUUUUUUAAUGAGCAAUCUCGUCAUGCUGAGCAGAAUACUUGGAUUUUCGAUCUCACAGCUCUUUCCUGAAAUCAAGAUCUGAGUUUUCAAGUUUUGCCUUUUAAGUUUUUCAGGGUGGUGAAUAUGAAAAACAAAUAACUUUAGAACCAUGGUUAUUAACAGUGAUUAUUGAUUGGCUUGGCCUUCAGCCAAGCAACUCUUCAGCAUGCACCAGAGUUGCUGAUUUAAAUUCUGUGGAUUCUUUUUUUUUUUUUUUUUUCGUAAGUUAGCCUUUUUUAAUCUUUAAACAGCAUAGAUGGCAGUUGAGGAACAGUAGAUCAGUUUUUAGUUAAGGUUGUUCAAUUAUGUCUUCAUCGCUUUGGAGUUGGUUGAAUGACUUGACAUGAGAUUAAGCACAACAAAAGAAAAGGCAGGGGAACAACAGCUGCCUUCCAGUACCAGAGCUCCAGAUUCUGAGCACUUCAGCGUUUUACCUUUUACUGUUCCGUGGUGUCAGGUUUAAAUGUGCUGGAGUUUCUUUGUGGCACUGAACUUGGCCUUGAGUGUAUUUUACCCAAUGCAACUAUUUGAAAUAUUUGUGCAACAAAACUAAGUGCAACUGACUGUAUCUGUAGACUUGAAAAAUCUGAAGAAACAAUU
Sturnus vulgaris (Common starling) is the source of this 1096-nucleotide non-coding RNA. NCBI's taxonomy places the organism in Eukaryota, Metazoa, Chordata, Aves, Passeriformes, Sturnidae. The record is from RefSeq and is a predicted model, not a curated record.